This 223-nucleotide ribosomal RNA is filed under the name uncultured bacterium. RNAcentral describes it as "partial 16S ribosomal RNA". It matches the Rfam family "Bacterial small subunit ribosomal RNA", at positions 109 to 334 of the family's 1533-position model. The record is from RNAcentral.
AGUAAUGCUUGGGAAGUCUGGCUUAUGGAGGGGGAUAACUACGGGAAACUGUAGCUAAUACCGCGUAAUAUCGAAAGAUUAAAGUGUGGGACCUUCGGGCCACAUGCCAUAGGAUGAGCCCAAGUGGGAUUAGGUAGUUGGUGAGGUAAAGGCUCACCAAGCCGACGAUCUCUAGCUGGUCUGAGAGGAUGACCAGCCACACUGGGACUGAGACACGGCCCAG